RNAcentral lists this ribosomal RNA (489 nucleotides) under uncultured bacterium. RNAcentral describes it as "bacterial SSU rRNA". It matches the Rfam family "Bacterial small subunit ribosomal RNA", at positions 29 to 528 of the family's 1533-position model. The record is from RNAcentral.
AGUGAACGCUGGCGGCGUGCUUAACACAUGCAAGUCGAACGAGAACGGAUUAUAGCUUGCUAUAAUUGUCAGCUAAGUGGCGCACGGGUGAGUAAUGUAUAGGUAAUAUGCCUCUUACUAAGGGAUAACAAAUGGAAACGUUCGCUAAUACCUUAUACUCCUUAUUAACAGAAGUUAAUAAGGGAAAGAUUUAUUGGUAAGAGAUUAGCCUGUAUUGUAUCAGUUAGUUGGUGGGGUAAUGGCUUACCAAGACUAUGACACAUAACUGGUUUGAGAGGAUGAUCAGUCACACUGGAACUGAGACACGGUCCAGACUCCUACGGGAGGCAGCAGUGGGGAAUAUUGCACAAUGGACGAAAGUCUGAUGCAGCAACGCCGCGUGGAGGAUGACACAUUUCGGUGCGUAAACUCCUUUUAUAUGAGAAGAUAAUGACGGUAUUAUAUGAAUAAGCACCGGCUAACUCCGUGCCAGCAGCCGCGGUAAAGUAG